Talpa occidentalis (Iberian mole) is the source of this 913-nucleotide long non-coding RNA. RefSeq lists it as uncharacterized. The transcript is spliced from 4 exons. NCBI's taxonomy places the organism in Eukaryota, Metazoa, Chordata, Mammalia, Eulipotyphla, Talpidae. The record is from RefSeq and is a predicted model, not a curated record.
GGCGCGCGGGCGGGAGGCCGCGGCGCUGGAGCCUCGGAAGCCUCUGGAAGCCUCUGGAACCCGAUGGAUACAGACAUCCGUUCUUUGCAAACGCUCCUAUAUAUAAUUUCAUUUCUUGGACUCCUCGGCGCUACCUUGUGAACUUCUGAGUGUGAUACCACCACACAAACGACAAAAGUAACUCAAGCCAGUUUCUUCUGGAGAGGCGAGAGCAGGAGACGAGGGACUCAAGAAGGGGGAACCGCCCUGACUGCGUGGUCACCAGGAAGGCACAACUGCCAGGAGCUUCAUUCUUCAGCUGAAUAUUUUAAGAGUAACUUCACUUAAGGGAGGAAGACGUUUGCUCUCAGAGACAAGACUUGCGAGUCGCUGCUCAGGAGCUUGCUGGGAGACGCUGUGACCCAAACAGCGGUCUCGCUGACACCAAGUGACGUGGUGUUUAUAAUCGGGACACGGAGGUUUUGACUAGCCCACUUCCACCCAUGCGGGACAGAUUUGUUUGACUCGAUCGCUGGACCAUAGGAUCUUCAAAGACAGGGGCAUCUUAUUUUCUCUGAAUUUCAGCUCCUCCUGCUUUGAACAGACCCUUGCCUGAAGCAGCUGGUCCACACGCACCUUCCUGCGAGCUCCCAACGUGCCCAAACAGGUGGACGGAACAUUCUGUAACAAUCCUGGGCUUUCGUGUCCGCCUGAUGCUCCUCCGUAGAGGCAACAGUAACAGCAAACCAAAGAAAAGAAGAUGACACACACGCGUGUCCACAGGCGGGGCGUGGGGACGCGAACGGCGCGCGGCAUUGACAGAGAACAAAGCCCCGAGGAGCCGCCGGGCGCCGAGAGGCAGCGCUGAGUGUAGCCUGACGCCACUGUUAAAUAAAGCUCAAAAAUAAGCAAAAUAACACAGUCGUCAGAAAUU